GAAAAUACCCUGGAAUGCAAGGAUGUGUUACUAAAGGUGUGAUAUUCCAAAAGAUGAAAAAAUCUUACAAUUAUGGAUCUCGGGUUGUUGUUUUUCAAAGAUGAAGAAGCCACAAGUGACCUGUGUGCCCUUUUGAUACCAAAGGACAAGGUCUCAGAAACCUUCCAUUUGUGCUCCUAGGGUGUGCCAUGCUAGUGAACUCUUCUACAGAAUAUCAGUACCAAAG
Long non-coding RNA from Protopterus annectens (West African lungfish), 226 nucleotides. RefSeq lists it as uncharacterized. The record is from RefSeq and is a predicted model, not a curated record. The transcript is spliced from 3 exons. NCBI's taxonomy places the organism in Eukaryota, Metazoa, Chordata, Ceratodontiformes, Protopteridae.